RNAcentral lists this ribosomal RNA (701 nucleotides) under uncultured Actinomycetes bacterium. RNAcentral's name for it is "bacterial SSU rRNA". It matches the Rfam family "Bacterial small subunit ribosomal RNA", at positions 72 to 787 of the family's 1533-position model. Lineage: Bacteria; Bacillati; Actinomycetota; Actinomycetes. The record is from RNAcentral.
ACCUCUCGCAAGAGAGGGGAAGGCCGAGUGGCGAACGGGUGAGUAACACGUGAGCAACCUGCCCCGAAGUCUGGGAUAACACCGGGAAACCGGUGCUAAUACCGGAUGUCCCCACCGGAUCGCAUGGUCUGGUGAGGAAAGUUUUUCGCUUCGGGAGGGGCUCGCGGGCUAUCAGCUUGUUGGCGGGGUAACGGCCCACCAAGGCGACGACGGCUAGCUGGUCUGAGAGGACGACCAGCCACACUGGGACUGAGACACGGCCCAGACUCCUACGGGAGGCAGCAGUGGGGAAUCUUGCGCAAUGGGCGAAAGCCUGACGCAGCAACGCCGCGUGCGGGAUGAAGGCCUUCGGGUUGUAAACCGCUUUCAGCAGGGACGAAAUUGACGGUACCUGCAGAAGAAGCACCGGCCAGCUACGUGCCAGCAGCCGCGGUAAUACGUAGGGUGCAAGCGUUGUCCGGAUUUAUUGGGCGUAAAGAGCUCGUAGGCGGUUUAGCAAGUCGGGUGUGAAAACUACAGGCUCAACCUGUAGAUGCCACUCGAGACUGCUAUGACUUGAGUCUGGUAGGGGAGCACGGAAUUCCUGGUGUAGCGGUGAAAUGCGCAGAUAUCAGGAGGAACACCGGUGGCGAAGGCGGUGCUCUGGGCCAGUACUGACGCUGAGGAGCGAAAGCGUGGGUAGCAAACAGGAUUAGAUACCC